RNAcentral lists this transfer RNA (82 nucleotides) under Wolbachia pipientis. It matches the Rfam family "tRNA". Rfam says of the family: Transfer RNA (tRNA) molecules are approximately 80 nucleotides in length. The record is from Rfam by way of RNAcentral. Lineage: Bacteria; Pseudomonadati; Pseudomonadota; Alphaproteobacteria; Rickettsiales; Anaplasmataceae.
GCCCGUGUGGCGGAAUUGGCAGACGCAGCGGACUUAAAAUCCGUGGGGUAAAACCUUGGGAGUUCAAGUCUCCCCAUGGGCA